UGACGGUACCUAACGAGGAAGCCCCGGCUAACUACGUGCCAGCAGCCGCGGUAAUACGUAGGGCAAGCGUUGUCCGGAAUUAUUGGGCGUAAAGCGCGCGCAGGCGGUUCCUUAAGUCUGAUGUGAAAGCCCACGGCUCAACCGUGGAGGGUCAUUGGAAACUGGGGAACUUGAGGACAGAAGAGGAGAGUGGAAUUCCACGUGUAGCGGUGUAAUGCGUAGAUAUGUGGAGGAACACCAGUGGCGAAGGCGACUCUCUGGUCUGUUUCUGACGCUGAGGUGCGAAAGCGUGGGUAGCAAACAGGAUUAGAUACCCUGGUAGUCCACGCCGUAAACGAUGAGUGCUAGGUGUUAGGGGGCUUCCACCCCUUUGCUGAAGUUAACGCAUUAAGCACUCCGCCUGGGGAGUACGGCCGCAAGGCUGAAACUCAAAGGAAUUGACGGGGGCCCGCACAAGCGGUGGAGCAUGUGGUUUAAUUC
RNAcentral lists this ribosomal RNA (480 nucleotides) under Halobacillus sp. YAR-9. RNAcentral's name for it is "bacterial SSU rRNA". It matches the Rfam family "Bacterial small subunit ribosomal RNA", at positions 470 to 952 of the family's 1533-position model. The record is from RNAcentral. Lineage: Bacteria; Bacillati; Bacillota; Bacilli; Caryophanales; Bacillaceae.